UACAGAGGUGGCAAGCGUUGUUCGGAAUUACUGGGCGUAAAGGGCGCGUAGGCGGCCAUCUAAGUCAGACGUGAAAUCCCCCGGCUUAACCUGGGAACUGCGUCUGAUACUGGAAGGCUCGAGUUUGGGAGAGGGAUGCAGAAUUCCAGGUGUAGCGGUGAAAUGCGUAGAUAUCUGGAGGAACACCGGUGGCGAAGGCGACAUCCUGGACCGGUAUUGACGCUGAGGCGCGAAAGCCAGGGGAGCAAACGGG
Molecule: ribosomal RNA, 253 nt
Filed under: uncultured bacterium
Lineage: Bacteria
Description: partial 16S ribosomal RNA
Rfam family: Bacterial small subunit ribosomal RNA
Source: RNAcentral